GACGAACGCUGGCGGCGUGCUUAACACAUGCAAGUCGAACGGAAAGGCCCUGCUUGCAGGGUACUCGAGUGGCGAACGGGUGAGUAACACGUGUGUGAUCUGCCCUACACUUCGGGAUAAGCCUGGUAAACUGGGUCUAAUACCGGAUAGGAGCCAUUUUUAGUGUGAUGGUUGGAAAGUUUUUUCGGUGUAGGAUGAGCUCACGUCCGAUUAGCUUGUUGGUGGGGUAAAGGCUUACCAAGGCGGCGACGGGUAGCCGGUCUGAGAGGGCGAUCGGCCACACUGGGACUGAGACACGGCCCAGACUCCUACGGGAGGCAGCAGUGGGGAAUUUUGGACAAUGGGCGAAAGCCUGAUCCAGCAAUGCCGCGUGUGUGAAGAAGGCCUUCGGGUUGUAAAGCACUUUUGUCCGGAAAGAAAUGGCUCUGGUUAAUACCUGGGGUCGAUGACGGUACCGGAAGAAUAAGGACCGGCUAACUACGUG
Molecule: ribosomal RNA, 484 nt
Filed under: uncultured bacterium
Lineage: Bacteria
Description: partial 16S ribosomal RNA
Rfam family: Bacterial small subunit ribosomal RNA
Source: RNAcentral